RNAcentral lists this ribosomal RNA (1344 nucleotides) under uncultured bacterium. Its description in RNAcentral is "16S ribosomal RNA". It matches the Rfam family "Bacterial small subunit ribosomal RNA", at positions 28 to 1378 of the family's 1533-position model. The record is from RNAcentral.
GACGAACGCUGGCGGCGUGCUUAACACAUGCAAGUCGAACGGAAAGGCCCUGCUUUUGUGGGGUGCUCGAGUGGCGAACGGGUGAGUAACACGUGAGUAACCUGCCCUUGACUUUGGGAUAACUUCAGGAAACUGGGGCUAAUACCGGAUAGGAGCUCCUGCUGCAUGGCGGGGGUUGGAAAGUUUCGGCGGUUGGGGAUGGACUCGCGGCUUAUCAGCUUGUUGGUGGGGUAGUGGCUUACCAAGGCUUUGACGGGUAGCCGGCCUGAGAGGGUGACCGGCCACAUUGGGACUGAGAUACGGCCCAGACUCCUACGGGAGGCAGCAGUGGGGAAUAUUGCACAAUGGGCGGAAGCCUGAUGCAGCAACGCCGCGUGCGGGAUGACGGCCUUCGGGUUGUAAACCGCUUUCGCCUGUGACGAAGCGUGAGUGACGGUAAUGGGUAAAGAAGCACCGGCUAACUACGUGCCAGCAGCCGCGGUGAUACGGAGGGUGCGAGCGUUGUCCGGAUUUAUUUGGGCGUAAAGGGCUCGUAGGUGGUUGAUCGCGUCGGAAGUGUAAUCUUGGGGCUUAACCCUGAGCGUGCUUUCGAUACGGGUUGACUUGAGGAAGGUAGGGGAGAAUGGAAUUCCUGGUGGAGCGGUGGAAUGCGCAGAUAUCAGGAGGAACACCAGUGGCGAAGGCGGUUCUCUGGGCCUUUCCUGACGCUGAGGAGCGAAAGCGUGGGGAGCGAACAGGCUUAGAUACCCUGGUAGUCCACGCUGUAAACGGUGGGUACUAGGUGUGGGGUCCAUUCCACGGGUUCCGUGCCGUAGCUAACGCUUUAAGUACCCCGCCUGGGGAGUACGGCCGCAAGGCUAAAGCUCAAAGGAAUUGACGGGGCCCCGCACAAGCGGCGGAGCAUGCGGAUUAAUUCGAUGCAACGCGUAGAACCUUACCUGGGUUUGACAUGGAUCGGGAGUGCUCAGAGAUGGGUGUGCCUCUUUUGGGGUCGGUUCACAGGUGGUGCAUGGCUGUCGUCAGCUCGUGUCGUGAGAUGUUGGGUUAAGUCCCGCAACGAGCGCAACCCUUGUUCACUGUUGCCAGCACGUUAUGGUGGGGACUCAGUGGAGACCGCCGGGGUCAACUCGGAGGAAGGUGGGGAUGACGUCAGGUCAUCAUGCCCCUUAUGUCCAGGGCUUCACGCAUGCUACAAUGGCUGGUACAGAGAGUGGCGAGCCUGUGAGGGUGAGCGAAUCUCGGAAAGCCGGUCUCAGUUCGGAUUGGGGUCUGCAACUCGACCUCAUGAAGUCGGAGUCGCUAGUAAUCGCAGAUCAGCAACGCUGCGGUGAAUACGUUCCCGGG